UACAGAGGGGGCAAGCGUUGUUCGGAAUUACUGGGCGUAAAGGGCGCGUAGGCGGCCUGCUAAGUCGAACGUGAAAUCCCCGGGCUCAACCCGGGAACUGCGUCCGAUACUGGCAGGCUUGAAUUCGGGAGAGGGAUGCGGAAUUCCAGGUGUAGCGGUGAAAUGCGUAGAUAUGCGGAGGAACACCGAUGGCGAAGGCAAUCCCCUGGGCCUGCACUGACGCUCAUGCACGAAAGCGUGGGGAGCAAACAGG
Molecule: ribosomal RNA, 253 nt
Filed under: uncultured bacterium
Lineage: Bacteria
Description: partial 16S ribosomal RNA
Rfam family: Bacterial small subunit ribosomal RNA
Source: RNAcentral